CGGGACGGGUGAGUAACACGUGGAUAACCUACCUAUAAGACUGGGAUAACUUCGGGAAACCGGAGCUAAUACCGGAUAAUAUAUUGAACCGCAUGGUUCAAUAGUGAAAGACGGUUUUGCUGUCACUUAUAGAUGGAUCCGCGCCGCAUUAGCUAGUUGGUAAGGUAACGGCUUACCAAGGCAACGAUGCGCAGCCGACCUGAGAGGGUGAUCGGCCACACUGGAACUGAGACACGGUCCAG
This 242-nucleotide ribosomal RNA is filed under the name uncultured Staphylococcus sp. Its description in RNAcentral is "partial 16S ribosomal RNA". It matches the Rfam family "Bacterial small subunit ribosomal RNA", at positions 100 to 334 of the family's 1533-position model. Lineage: Bacteria; Bacillati; Bacillota; Bacilli; Caryophanales; Staphylococcaceae. The record is from RNAcentral.